CGCGCACAUCCCACUACGGUCGAUCAAAAAUGCGACAUCCCAGGAUAUGUCGCCGACCCAUUCAUUUCUUUACGCAUGCGGAAGCGAAACAAAUCCCCUGACAACAUUUAACUUGGGAUAGAAAAGCAGGCAAUCAAUCACAAUACCAAACACUCAUUUACUAACACAAAGGGUUUAAAUACAACACUGGACUUUCUACAAAAUAGACCAGCUCGACAAAAGGGGGACUAUCCUACAACCAACUAGCAAGACACGCUCUCCAACCCUUAUGACUUCACCUCUGCAACUCCUCAAGGCCAAUCAAAGCUAUCUGGCCGCUCCGUCCACCAGGGACCUGAAAUUUUAAUCCCACAACCGGGAUGAGACGAUGUCUCAGCAAGUUCAACCCCCUAAACCCCUAUUAGAAAGAAAAUACGCCCCAGGUAGCCUAGCCACAUCACACAGAAGACUUACCUCGCCUCAGCCUUCAUCUGCAGGUUAGCACAAUUUAUAUAAUCCAACCACGUACAAUUAUGAUAACCAAACAACCAUGGCACAAUCACAUUAUCAAACCAAUUCAACCACUUGGAUCGUCUCAGCGAUCAAUCGACUCGGCCGAUUACAUGUCAUUCUAGCAAAUCAAUCAUUGCUCUCAACUACGGCCCUACUCGGCAAAUUUAAAUCAGUGGCAUCACGGCCCCACUCGGCGCGACCUUUAACAGGUGGCAAUUCACGGCCCC
RNAcentral lists this long non-coding RNA (719 nucleotides) under Eucalyptus grandis. RNAcentral describes it as "long non-coding RNA (EGRA_LNC007658)". The record is from RNAcentral. Lineage: Eukaryota; Viridiplantae; Streptophyta; Magnoliopsida; Myrtales; Myrtaceae.